This 419-nucleotide ribosomal RNA is filed under the name Actinobacteridae bacterium Ellin7156. RNAcentral's name for it is "bacterial SSU rRNA". It matches the Rfam family "Bacterial small subunit ribosomal RNA", at positions 29 to 446 of the family's 1533-position model. The record is from RNAcentral. Lineage: Bacteria; Bacillati; Actinomycetota; Actinomycetes.
ACGAACGCUGGCGGCGUGCUUAACACAUGCAAGUCGAGCGACGCUCUUUCCUUCGGGAGAGAUGACGGAGCGGCGAACGGGUGAGUAACACGUGGGCAACCUGCCCCUAGCUCUGGGAUAAGCCCGGGAAACCGGGUCUAAUACCGGAUAUGAGACCGAGAGGCAUCCUGAGGUCUGGAAAGUUUUUUCGGCUAGGGAUGGGCCCGCGGCCUAUCAGCUUGUUGGUGGGGUAACGGCCUACCAAGGCGACGACGGGUAGCCGGCCUGAGAGGGCGACCGGCCACACUGGGACUGAGACACGGCCCAGACUCCUACGGGAGGCAGCAGUGGGGAAUAUUGCACAAUGGGCGAAAGCCUGAUGCAGCGACGCCGCGUGAGGGAUGACUGCCUUCGGGUUGUAAACCUCUUUCAGCAGGGAC